UACAGAGGUCUCAAGCGUUGUUCGGAUUCAUUGGGCGUAAAGGGAGCGUAGGUGGCGAGGUUAGUCAGGUGUGAAAUCUCGGGGCUCAACCCCGAAACUGCACUUGAUACUGCCUUGCUAGGGUACUGGAGAGGAGAUUGGAAUUUACGGUGUAGCAGUGAAAUGCGUAGAUAUCGUAAGGAAGACCGGUGGCGAAGGCGAAUCUCUGGACAGUUACUGACACUGAGGCUCAAAGGCCAGGGGAGCAAACGGG
Molecule: ribosomal RNA, 253 nt
Filed under: uncultured bacterium
Lineage: Bacteria
Description: partial 16S ribosomal RNA
Rfam family: Bacterial small subunit ribosomal RNA
Source: RNAcentral